ACCUUUCUCCCUCCGCCCCAACAUCGCUCCCUCCGCCCCAACCUCACUCCACCUGACCUCCCUCUGCCCCAACCUCACUGCCCCGAAUUCCCUCCCUCUGCCCCGACCUCAGAUGGGAUUAUGGGAGCAAGAGGAGGUAGUUCAGGUUCUUAAGCUUGUUCCGUGGACAAGUGGAAAAUCACAUCAGAAUUGAUGCUGUAUAAAAUAGCAUUUCAGCUCUAUGAACUGCGCCAUCAUUCAUUACAAUCAAGGCCAAUCAUUUACCUCAAUACCACAUUAUCACUUUCUCUCCAUACCCCUUGAUGUCUUUGGCAUGCAGAAAUUAUAACUCCUUCUUAAAUACAUUUACCAAUUUGGCACUGACAGCCUUCUGUGUAGCAAAUACUGCAGUGUUCACCACCCUUGCAAUGAAGGAAUUUCUCUUCACAGUCCUACAUCUCUUGCCCUGUUACUGACCCAUCAUUCUUGACACGUCAGGUAGGGCAGAAGUUUUCAACCUGUGGUCUGUGGACCCUUGGGGGUCCGCGGCGGGUUGCCAGGGGGUCCACGAGCAAGCCAAGAAAAAAAUGGAAAAGCGACCUGUUACAAAGAUGCAGCUUACUUGCUUACUCCAGUUUUCCACUAUUCAGAAAAUCGGCCAUAUCUAUUCUAUCUGUUAAAGGCGACAAUCUUCGAGACUUAGACGGUGUUCCCUUCUGAGAAAAGCUGACCAGAAACCGGAAGAUUCUGAUGACGAAGGGGAUAAGUGUGACCGAAAGAGAAAACAACGCAAGUACGAUCCAGAAUACAUUUCAUAUGGCUUCAUCGCAGUGGGGACAAAUGCGGACCAACCUCUCUGUGUUGUGUGUUUGCAAACACUGUCCAACGAUGCAAUGAAACCAGCGAAAUUGAACAACAGUGCAUCCAGAUAUUGCCAGUAAGCCGAAGGAAUAUUUGAGCGGCAAAAGGAGCUGUACCUCGAGCAGAAAGGCAAAAUGACAGCCUGCGCCACUGUAAAUGAGAAGGCUCUUCGCACAUCAUAUUUGGUAGCGUUACGACUAACACAUUCCAGAAAGCCUCACACAAUUGGAGAAGAGCUUAUACUGCCUGCAGCAGUAGAUAUGUGCAAAGUUGUACUGGGAAAAGAAUCCAGUCAAAAACUGAAAGCCAUUCCACUGUCUGAUAACACAGUAAGCAGAAGAAUUGGCGAUAUGGCGGAAGACAUACAGAGCAGCUGAUAGCACAUCUUCCGCAAGUCAGAUUUGCAAUUCAGCUCGAUGAAAGUGCUGAUGUUGCCAGUGUUGCACAGUUUUUGCUUUAUGUUUGAUAUGCUGGAAGGAGAGGCUUUGGAAGACUUUUUGUUUUGCAAGGCGCUCCCAGGACAUACAGCCGGUGAAGAACUUUUCCGUGCGCUUGACACUUUUUUUGUGCAAUCAGCAUUGGCGUGGACACAGUGUAUUGGAGUAUGCACGGAUGGUGCUGCCGCAAUGACGGGACGGAAGUCGGGUCUAGUCGCAAGAGUGAAAGAAGAAGCUCCACAUGUAGCAGCGACCCACUGCAUGAUUCACCGUGAGGCUUUGGCUGCAAAGGAUAUGGAUGAAAAUCUUGCAGAUGUGUUUUCCACGUGCAUUAAAAUCGUUAACUUUAUCAAAGCCAGGCCACCCAAUCAUCGUUUGUUUGAAAACAUAUGCCGUGAAAUGGAAGCGGAGCAUAAGCAUUUGUUGCUACAUACAGAAGUCAGAUGGCUGUCACGAGGCCACGUUGUGCAGCAUGUAUAUGAAUUGCGAGAUGAACUGCUCAUUUUUCUAAAUGAGCAUAACGGAUCAUUGGCACAGUUCUUGACAGAUGAGACGUGGGUUGCCAGAUUAGCUUACCUUGCAGAUAUUUUCAACAUUUUGAACAGCUUAAAUCUAUCAUUGCAAGGACCUGGCUCAAAUGUUCUGAAAAUGCAUGACAAGAUCAAUGCCUUCCAGAAAAAAACUCCGUAUCUGGAAGGGAAGAUGUGAGCAAGGCGUCUAUGAUAUGUUUCCGUUACUGGCUGAAUUUUUGACAGUGAACGAGACUAACACAGAGGCCAUUGCGAGCACUGUUUUGAACCAUAUUCAACAGCUGUCACAUUAUUUCCAUGAGUAUUUCGGCGACGAUGACACGAGCAUGUUUGAUUGAUUCGAAAUCAGUUUGAAUGCAUGCUUACUGAUUUAACUGGACGUGAACAAGAAGAAUUGGCUGAACUGUCAUCUGACACGACUUUGCGCUUGCAGUUCAAUCGAAUGUCACUGUUGUCAUUCUGGAUAGCAUGUUCCCAGGAGUAUCCACUGCUGUCCGGCAAAGCCGUCAAUGUUCUGUUACCAUUUGCAACCACUUACCUGUGCGAAAUACCAUUUUCUGCAGUCACUGCCGUGAAAACCAAAUACAGAUCAAGACUGAAUAUUGAGGAUGACAUACGCGUAUAUUUGUCGCACAUACUAUAGAAUAUAUAGAAAGUAGAGGCUAUACUUUUUUUUAUUCAUAGUCUGCUCUGUGUUUAAGAUGGCUGCUGAUCUCCUUAAGAUGGCCGCUGGGCCUCCUUCUUCUUCAGCUCGAGCGCGGGAAACUCUUAGUGUGGGAAACAUAUAGCUCAUUAAAGAAAUAGCCCAUUCUUAGGGAGACACUUUUGAUUUAGUGUAGCUCAUUAAACCGAUAGUUAGCUCAUUCCUAGGAAGACACUGUUGAUCUAUUGUGUAGCUAAUGGUCGUUAGGGUUAGUGUGACUAAUGAUUUUGUAGCAGUUCUGAAGCUGAUAGUUUUUUUUAACUGAUAAACCAGAUGCCAGCAAGUCUCAGAACUCAUAGGUUAUAGGGGCACAUUGUAAUGUUUUAUAACUGUUAGCCUUGUAGCGAAUAAGUCUAGUAUUGUUUUAUAACUGAUAGUUCUGUAGCCUAGUACCAGUACUCCCAAUGCCCAUGAAUAAUUGGGGCACCCUGCGAUUGAGACAGGAAAUGACCGUGGCGAAAGACAAAUGGUUGUGAGCCCGGAGACAACUGUGAAAGGAGGCAAAUGGUGAAGGAUGAAACUGUGAAGAUAAGAGAAAAGAUGAUGGAUUGUAACAAUCUCAUUGAGCUAAGAAAAAAGGUAUAAAAAAAGGCCCUCGAGCUUUGCUCGGGGGCAGUCAGAGAGGGCAGUAGUCAGAGGGUGACUGGUAACUGUCUGGCUGUCACAACUUUUUUUUGCAAAUAAAAGUUUAACUUCUUGAGGAA
Pristis pectinata (smalltooth sawfish) is the source of this 3214-nucleotide long non-coding RNA. RefSeq lists it as uncharacterized. Lineage: Eukaryota; Metazoa; Chordata; Chondrichthyes; Rhinopristiformes; Pristidae. The transcript is spliced from 2 exons. The record is from RefSeq and is a predicted model, not a curated record.